AACAGUACAACUACAAAUUCCCUUGCUUCUUUGUAAGGGAACCAAUCAACUAACUUAAUGAGAUUGAUGCACGAGAGCUUCUAGAUGUUCUUCUCGAUCUUGAAUAUUCAUUUUCUCCAACUAUGCAAGAUUUGCUUGUGUAUAAGUUUGAUAAGGCCAGGGGCAAGAACAAAGUGGUUGAUUCAUUGAAUGAAGUAUGCGUUAUGUACAGUCCUCCAGAAUUCAGAAAUUGAUCUAUAAUUCUGUGAAGAGAAGGUUUUCAAACCCAAAGGAGCAUUGGCAACCUUAGGGACUUGGGCGCCAACGUGUAGUCCCUGCAGAAGUUGCUCACCCGGAAGGUGGUCUUCUCCAAGGCCUCCCUAGCCUUUGAACAAGACCGCUCCAUCAAGGGUAAACCAUUGAGUGACAAUGAUACAUGUGUGUCCAUUGCAACUUAGAGGUUCAUAGUGAUUAGCAGCAUGAGGUGCUGAGCACAUCGCGUGUGUGUCUGUAUGUGUGCGCUGAUAUGUGGUUCAUGAGGAACAAACUGAUUAAGCAUGCUCCAAAGCUACGAGCGACUGAACUAGGUUGAAACCAAGAGGGCAUUGUAAACUUUGAUGACACUUUGUGGGAAACCAAUUACUUCAUGACCAG
Triticum aestivum (bread wheat) is the source of this 633-nucleotide long non-coding RNA. RefSeq lists it as uncharacterized. The transcript has 4 exons. The record is from RefSeq and is a predicted model, not a curated record. Lineage: Eukaryota; Viridiplantae; Streptophyta; Magnoliopsida; Poales; Poaceae.